UCAGUAUACUUCAUGGCAACCACGAGUCCCAAACUCUUUUUUGGGAAAUUUAAUUUUAUCAAGCCUCGUUAGGCCCAUCGGGCUUAGAUUUUAUAGUAAAGUUAAAAAGUGAACCAAAGGCGUCUCGCGCCACAAUUUAUAUUUGAAAAACCAUAAUUGAAUUAUAUUAAAUUGGUGUUGGGAAGAAUCCGUGCAUUUUUCUUCUCCAUCUCAUCUGGCCCCUUCAGAACACCCAGACAUCCGGCAGCUACGGGAGCUACGAGAAACGAAAAUUGUUCCUUCUCACCAGAAAGGCUACUAAUGUAUUUCUCACCUGUAUCUCCAAAGGUAUGAUUGAUGCCCAACCGAAUCCAGGAAGUUCCAACGCUGUAUUUUCCUAAUCUGUGUUUCUUCUUAACUGUCGUUACAAAGGUAUGUUCUAUACAUAAAAUUGUUCCUUCUCACCAGAAAGGCUACUAAUGUAUUUCUCACCUGUAUCUCCAAAGGUAUGAUUGAUGCCCAACCGAAUCCAGGAAGUUCCAACGCUGUAUUUUCCUAAUCUGUGUUUCUUCUUAACUGUCGUUACAAAGGUAUGUU
This is a long non-coding RNA of Lutzomyia longipalpis, 576 nucleotides long. RefSeq lists it as uncharacterized. The record is from RefSeq and is a predicted model, not a curated record. NCBI's taxonomy places the organism in Eukaryota, Metazoa, Arthropoda, Insecta, Diptera, Psychodidae. The transcript is spliced from 3 exons.